UACGUAGGGGCAAGCGUUGUCCGGAAUUACUGGGCGUAAAGGGUGCGUAGGUGGUUUCUUAAGUCAGAGGUGAAAGGCUACGGCUCAACCGUAGUAAGCCUUUGAAACUGGGAAACUUGAGUGCAGGAGAGGAGAGUGGAAUUCCUAGUGUAGCGGUGAAAUGCGUAGAUAUUAGGAGGAACACCAGUUGCGAAGGCGGCUCUCUGGACUGUAACUGACACUGAGGCACGAAAGCGUGGGGAGCAAACAGGAUUAGAUACCCCGGUAGUCCCUGAGCGGGCU
Molecule: ribosomal RNA, 282 nt
Filed under: uncultured prokaryote
Description: partial 16S ribosomal RNA
Rfam family: Bacterial small subunit ribosomal RNA
Source: RNAcentral